CAGUCGCCGCGGUAAUACAGAGGGUGCGAGCGUUAAUCGGAUUUACUGGGCGUAAAGCGUGCGUAGGCGGCUUUUUAAGUCGGAUGUGAAAUCCCUGAGCUUAACUUAGAAAUUGCAUUCGAUACUGGGAAGCUAGAGUAUGGGAGAGGAUGGUAGAAUUCCAGGUGUAGCGGUGAAAUGCGUAGAGAUCUGGAGGAAUACCGAUGGCGAAGGCAGCCAUCUGGCCUAAUACUGACGCUGAGGUACGAAAGCAUGGGGAGCAAACAGGAUUAGAUACCCCGGUAGUCCCUGUCUCUUAUAC
This 301-nucleotide ribosomal RNA is filed under the name uncultured bacterium. Its description in RNAcentral is "partial 16S ribosomal RNA". It matches the Rfam family "Bacterial small subunit ribosomal RNA", at positions 509 to 807 of the family's 1533-position model. The record is from RNAcentral.